ACUCCUACGGGAGGCAGCAGGUGGGGAAUAUUGCACAAUGGGCGCAAGCCUGAUGCAGCCAUGCCGCGUGUGUGAAGAAGGCCUUCGGGUUGUAAAGCACUUUCAGUUGUGAGGAAGGUGGUGUCGUUAAUAGCGGCAUCAUUUGACGUUAGCAACAAGAAGAAGCACCGGCUAACUCCGUGCCAGCAGCCGCGGUAAUACGGAGGGGUGCGAGCGUUAAUCGGAAUUACUGGGGCGUAAAGCGCAUGCAGGUGGUUUGUUAAGUCAGAUGUGAAAGCCCGGGGCUCAACCUCGGAACUGCAUUUGAAACUGGCAGACUAGAGUACUGUAGAGGGGGUAGAAUUCAGGUGUAGCGGUGAAAUGCGUAGAGAUCUGAAGGAAUACCGGUGGCGAAGGCGGCCCCCUGGACAGAUACUGACACUCAGAUGCGAAAGCGUGGGGAGCAAACAGGAUUAGAUACCCUGGUAGCACAGAG
RNAcentral lists this ribosomal RNA (475 nucleotides) under uncultured bacterium. RNAcentral's name for it is "bacterial SSU rRNA". It matches the Rfam family "Bacterial small subunit ribosomal RNA", at positions 335 to 799 of the family's 1533-position model. The record is from RNAcentral.